RNAcentral lists this ribosomal RNA (249 nucleotides) under uncultured bacterium. RNAcentral's name for it is "partial 16S ribosomal RNA". It matches the Rfam family "Bacterial small subunit ribosomal RNA", at positions 107 to 354 of the family's 1533-position model. The record is from RNAcentral.
UGAGUAACACGUAUGCAACCUGCCUGCCACAGCCGGAUAAUCGGGAGAAAUUCCGUCUAAUACGGCAUAAUGCAUCGACGGGACAUCCUGUUGGUGCCAAAGGUUGAUUCCGGUGGCGGAUGGGCAUGCGUCGCAAUAGUUAGUUGGCGGUGUAACGGACCACCAAGACGACGAUGCGUAGGGGUUCUGAGAGGAAGGUCCCCCACACUGGUACUGAGACACGGACCAGACUCCUACGGGAGGCAGCAG